UGGGGAAUAUUGGACAAUGGGCGCAAGCCUGAUCCAGCCAUGCCGCGUGGAUGAUGAAGGCCUUAGGGUUGUAAAGUCCUUUCGGCGGGGAAGAUAAUGACGGUACCCGCAGAAGAAGCCCCGGCUAACUUCGUGCCAGCAGCCGCGGUAAUACGAAGGGGGCUAGCGUUGCUCGGAAUCACUGGGCGUAAAGCGCACGUAGGCGGCUUUUUAAGUCAGGGGUGAAAUCCUGGAGCUCAACUCCAGAACUGCCUUUGAUACUGAGAAGCUUGAGUCCGGGAGAGGUGAGUGGAACUGCGAGUGUAGAGGUGAAAUUCGUAGAUAUUCGCAAGAACACCAGUGGCGAAGGCGGCUCACUGGCCCGGUACUGACGCUGAGGUGCGAAAGCGUGGGGAGCAAACAGGAUUAGAUACCCCUGUAGUCCCUGAGCGGGCUGGCAAGGCGCAU
Molecule: ribosomal RNA, 447 nt
Filed under: uncultured bacterium
Lineage: Bacteria
Description: bacterial SSU rRNA
Rfam family: Bacterial small subunit ribosomal RNA
Source: RNAcentral